RNAcentral lists this ribosomal RNA (443 nucleotides) under uncultured bacterium. RNAcentral's name for it is "bacterial SSU rRNA". It matches the Rfam family "Bacterial small subunit ribosomal RNA", at positions 340 to 786 of the family's 1533-position model. The record is from RNAcentral.
UACGGAAGGCAGCAGUGGGGAAUAUUGCACAAUGGGCGAAAGCCUGAUGCAGCGACGCCGCGUGAGGGAUGACGGCCUUCGGGUUGUAAACCUCUUUCAGCAGGGAAGAAGCCACAAGUGACGGUACCUGCAGAAGAAGCGCCGGCUAACUACGUGCCAGCAGCCGCGGUAAUACGUAGGGCGCAAGCGUUGUCCGGAAUUAUUGGGCGUAAAGAGCUCGUAGGCGGUUUUGUCGCGUCUGCUGUGAAAGCCCGGGGCUUAACCCCGGGUGUGCAGUGGGUACGGGCAGACUAGAGUGCAGUGGGGGAGACUGGAAUUCCUGGUGUAGCGGUGGAAUGCGCAGAUAUCAGGAGGAACACCGGAUGGCGAAAGGCAGGGUCUCUGGGCUGGUUACUGACGCUGAGGGAGCGAAAGCAUGGGGAGCGGAACAGGGAUUAGAUACC